AUUGAACGCUGGCGGAAUGCUUUACACAUGCAAGUCGAGCGGCAGCGCGGGGCAACCUGGCGGCGAGCGGCGAACGGGUGAGUAACAUAUCGGAACGUAUCCUUAAGUGGGGACGAACCUAGCGAAAGUUAGGCUAAUACCGCAUACGCAGGGAACUGGAAAGUGGGGACCGGCAAGGCCUCACGCUUUUGGAGCGGCCGAUAUCAGAUUAGCUUGUUGGUGAGGUAAAGGCUCACCAAGGCGACGAUCUGUAGCUGGUCUGAGAGGAUGAUCAGCCACACUGGGACUGAGACACGGCCCAGACUCCUACGGGAGCAGCAGUGGGGAAUUUUGGACAAUGGGGGCAACCCUGAUCCAGCCAUUCCGCGUGAGUGAAGAAGGCCU
RNAcentral lists this ribosomal RNA (384 nucleotides) under uncultured bacterium. RNAcentral describes it as "bacterial SSU rRNA". It matches the Rfam family "Bacterial small subunit ribosomal RNA", at positions 30 to 417 of the family's 1533-position model. The record is from RNAcentral.